CCCUAUUAUUGUAAAGAAAUAAAAAAUUGGAGAGUAGGAUUGAACUGAAAACUAUCCAGAAUGGCGGUUUUUUUUUUGUUCAGAAAGAUGUGUUUUUAAAACGAAAUUGCACGAAAAUCUUUCUUGUUUUUGAAUAUCCAUCCUGUUCACCGCCGUCUGAAGGGUAAAGAAAAAAAAUUUAAUCCUAUUCCUUUAUUCGGGAAUAAGUCAGGUAAGGUGCAGAUUAUAAACAAGACUAAAUGCAUUUCACUAGGAAUGAUCAAGGUUAGGUUUGAAAAAUCUUACCCAAGAAGAAUUUGAAAGUAAAGGUUUUUUAUUAAAAAGCCUUGAAUUAAAUACAAAAAAAA
Molecule: ribosomal RNA, 347 nt
Filed under: Columbicola passerinae
Lineage: Eukaryota; Metazoa; Arthropoda; Insecta; Psocodea; Philopteridae
Description: partial 12S ribosomal RNA
Source: RNAcentral